Long non-coding RNA from Rattus rattus (black rat), 2937 nucleotides. RefSeq lists it as uncharacterized. Lineage: Eukaryota; Metazoa; Chordata; Mammalia; Rodentia; Muridae. The transcript has 2 exons. The record is from RefSeq and is a predicted model, not a curated record.
UAAUCCACCCUGAGCCUUGCUCAAGACUUCUGUCCUGGCGAGGUGACACAGCGGAUUCCCCAUCCUCUCUCCUGCCUCAAAUGUGAAGCGGAACGUGAGACUCACAGAUAAGACCCCUGCCAGCCUCUCCUGUUCCCACAGUGGCCCCGUGUACCUUGUAUCCACUGCACGUCAGGCCUGCAUUUCUUUUUGCCAAGACGCACUUCAUUCGGAGAAAGAAAGACCGCUCUAUCUCGUACUCUGAAAGCAGACGUGCUGUUAGACAGGACCUGCCCUGCAUGUGUCCCCAACAACCUCCAACCUGGCACCCUCACACAAAGCAGCCAGAGUCAGACCCUCACCCAGAGAGUCCUGCCAAGGACCGAAGUCUAAGUGGGGAAGGUGAGACCGUGAUCAUCCCUGUACAAUUUCCAAGAAGAAAAGCAUCCUGAACCAUGACCAUAGCAAGAACCUGGAAACCCGGGUCAGCCUGACAGAACAGCCCCUUCCUUUCCACAGGCCACAGAGGAACUGGGUGCCAAGGUGGCUCUCGAAAAGGCCCGGAAGCAUCUAAGUUCCUUUAAGGCAGCAGAUACCAAAUGCCAGGCAUAACUCAGCCCCUGUCCCUGGCAGAGGGAGACAGACACAUUUGCCUCUUGGUGGGCUCAGUAAGAUGACUGCCACUUUGGAACACCCUUUCCCAAGUCUUAUCUCCAGGGCUCAGCCUUUACCUGCGGAGCCAUCUACAGACUGGCCUUUUCCUUCCUUCCUUUUCCACCCUCACAAAGGGAAGUUUUGGCCGCACAGUUAAUUGUAGCCGCAGGUAAGAAGGAGACCCCUCGUUAGUCUGCAAGCCUCACAGGACUGCCAGGGUGAGUUGAAAGGCUGGGGCCUCUAGAAUACACUCUGUCUUCUUAGGACUCAUUAUGACUGUAAUUUAAGGAGGUGCGUGAGCGAUGCCCAGGGUUUUUAAACCAAUCUGUGCCACGGCACACAACCUAAAAGUCUCUGCUCGGAAUACUUCCACAUGCAAAAAAUAGAUUACAAAAAGAAACCAGCUCUGUGGGUAAAGAAUCGCUCAGAAAGUUUGAAUUAUCUACUGCAUACAUGCCUUUUUAAGUAUCUGUAACGUCUGUGGCAACAAAGCCAAGGUUCUAAUGACCGUUGGUUGAAAGCCUCCAGUCUUGUGCAAAUGAAAUGCAAAAUUACACAGAUACAAUUUCCCAGUAUCUAACAUUCCCCAGCCCCUGGUUCUGUCCUCAGAAGAAGCAGGCGGGCCUAGGCUCACAAGAGUCUGUGCUGACAUUUUGAACCAGGAGCAUGUGAGGGGAACAGCGUGUGACCCAGUGCUGAACAGCUUGUGGCACAUAGUAGGGACUCCAUACUGUCCCCUGAAAACACAGAGGCAGGUGAGGGACAAAGCAUGAGCCCUCAGCCUGUAAGUGCAAAGCCCUGGGCUUGAUCCACGCCAGUGCAAGCCAGCAGCCCGGAGGACAGGUGUAGCAGCUGUUAAUCGGACCCAAACCCAGCCCACAGUAGGUGUAGGAAGCAGAAGCAGACCCUCUCUUUGGAGUAAGCAUGACCCUGCUUCAUUCUGGUUUUCUGUGCUGCAGAGGACCAACCUUGGAGCAGGUGAUGGUGGAGGGGUGGGUGGGCCGUCAGUACUGCUGUCAUCUCGUCAUGGUCAGAAGGAUGGAUGUAUUCGUAAAUACUGUUGCCUGUGAGCUCCACCUGCCAGGGGACAGAAAGAUCGGACAAGUCACAGGUCUCUCCAGAGUGGGUGCAAGGGGAGAGACCACAGAGCAGGAAGUGAGCAUUUAAUCUUGGUUGAAGUUCUGCUUGGAGAAAAACAGUCCUCAAGUGACUUCUCUGUAGACAAGCAUCUCCAGAGACUCUGCGAAGACCCAACCUGCCCUUUAACUAAACUGCUUCCUCUGGUUUCAAAGCUUCUGUUCUCUUGACGGGUGGGAGUACAGGCAAUCCAAGAUUUGUGGAUGAAGGACUGGGUGUUUUGAGCUCUGGGGUCCAUUAUAAAAUGAAUGGGAUUGUCUAGGAACCCCAAUAACCUUUAAACAACGGAAAUGUCUUCAUAGAGGAAAAAAUAUGGAGUAAUAUAUAACAGUGCAGACCUUAACUCGAAAUUAUGGUUGACGGGGCGCUUCCUGUGUUUAGAUGUGUGUCCCUGCUUUAAAAUGCUGAAAGACGUGCAGCUAUCUUACCCCACUCCCCAAAAUAUAUGCAACUCUAAAGAUAUGUAUUUGUCUCAACAGGACUCCCCAGGUCUCAUAUCUCAGCCUUAUUAAGACAGGACUUCAGUGAGCUGUUUCACUGUCUGUAAAACCCUGGUGACCACAAAAGCCAUGGUGUUCCGCUGCUCCCACUAAGAGCUUGCUAAUGCUUUGCCGAGUAGUCUCUUCCUGCCCAGAGAGCCGACAUGGUAAACUUGAGGAUAAAGGCUCUGUGUGGAAAGGCAGAGUCACUCAGCCGCUGAGAAAUGCGCUCGGCACUGCCUGGGCAUUUUGCUGAGUGUAGCAUUUUAAAUUAAGAUGAUUUGGGAUUCAGGGUUUGAGCUACGUAAACAAACACACGUCAUUGCCUUUUAUUCCUGAAGUGAAAGGAAUUCUGUCUCGUGCCCCUGAGCAGCACGGCUGCUCCUUUUAUUAGCCAGUCUCUGGCAUCCUUCUCAAACAUUCCGUUUUCCUUUAUGUGUCCCAUAAACAGCUACUUCACAUAUGUGUACACGUCUUUGAAAAUGAGUAUUGGUUACCUAGACAUUAUAGAGCAUAACUUUGUUAGAUUUAAACCAUAUGGAUACUUAAAAUGUCUACAUGACUCUAUUUUUCCUUCAUUGUCAUUUUUAAACCAGAAUUUGACAGCAGUGAUCACAUUUAUUUGCUAAUUGGGAAGCAAAAUAAAAGAAUAAAUUCAUCCUGGAGAAAUAAACUUCUUACUCCAACA